RNAcentral lists this ribosomal RNA (219 nucleotides) under Geobacillus thermoleovorans. RNAcentral describes it as "partial 16S ribosomal RNA". It matches the Rfam family "Bacterial small subunit ribosomal RNA", at positions 1 to 213 of the family's 1533-position model. The record is from RNAcentral. Lineage: Bacteria; Bacillati; Bacillota; Bacilli; Caryophanales; Anoxybacillaceae.
UCUUUUGGAGAGUUUGAUCCUGGCUCAGGACGAACGCUGGCGGCGUGCCUAAUACAUGCAAGUCGAGCGGACCGGAUCGGAGCUUGCUCUGAUUUGGUCAGCGGCGGACGGGUGAGUAACACGUGGGCAACCUGCCCGCAAGACCGGGAUAACUCCGGGAAACCGGAGCUAAUACCGGAUAACACCGAAGACCGCAUGGUCUUUGGUUGAAAGGCGGCC